GCACCUCAAAGCAAACCCUGUCGAUUCUGUUUAGUGUUUGAUACGGGCAAAAGCUGGUGCUAUAGAGAUUCAAUGUAAAUCCAGAUGGACCUCCUCUCCCUGUGGAGCCUGUCUCUACAACCUUGAAACACAA
Non-coding RNA from Xyrichtys novacula (pearly razorfish), 133 nucleotides. The record is from the annotation of a GenBank genome assembly. NCBI's taxonomy places the organism in Eukaryota, Metazoa, Chordata, Actinopteri, Labriformes, Labridae.